AUUGAACGCUGGCGGCAGGCCUAACACAUGCAAGUCGAGCGGAGCGGCGGACGGGUGAGUAAUGCCUAGGAAUCUGCCUGGUAGUGGGGGAUAACGUCCGGAAACGGGCGCUAAUACCGCAUACCAUAGGAUGAGCCCAAGUGGGAUUAGGUAGUUGGUGGGGUAAUGGCCUACCAAGCCGACGAUCUCUAGCUGGUCUGAGAGGAUGAUCAGUCACACUGGAACUGAGACACGGUCCAGACUCCUACGGGAGGCAGCAGUGGGGAAUAUUGGACAAUGGGCGAAAGCCUGAUCCAGCCAUGCCGCGUGUGUGAAGAAGGUCUUCGGAUUGUAAAGCACUUUAAGUUGGGAGGCGUUACCAACAGAAUAAGCACCGGCUAACUUCGUGCCAGCAGCCGCGGUAAUAC
This 407-nucleotide ribosomal RNA is filed under the name uncultured bacterium. Its description in RNAcentral is "partial 16S ribosomal RNA". It matches the Rfam family "Bacterial small subunit ribosomal RNA", at positions 30 to 526 of the family's 1533-position model. The record is from RNAcentral.